GGGAUCCGGGUUCUCCUGUUGCUUCCUCCUCCAACCUUUUCCAGGUGGAACACUGCCUUCCAAGCCCCUUGGCCCGACCCUGCCAGGCCCCUACCGGGGAAGGCUCCGGAAUCUAACUCGAUCUCCAGACCUGAGGGGGUGGGGGUGGGGGUGCUUUUGUUUAUCUUUUUUUCGUUGACCGUGAAUGGGGCUAUUUCCUCACCCCACCGGGAAGUCUGGACAAUAGGUGUUGGCUGGGGGUGGGGAGAGACGGUGGCCGCCGAAGUGGAAGACUGCCCGUGUCGGAUUUCACCCAAACCUCCCAUUUCCCCCCUACCCUCCGGCCUCGGCCAAGGCCGUUGGUCGCUUAGUUCUCCGGGCUUCUCUGGGGCUCCGCAGCCCUGGGCCUACAUAGGCUCCCCGGGAACCCCCGCUGCCCUUGGAGCGCCCACAAGUUCCGGGUCCCCGAAGCGCGGCGGGCUGGCUGCCGGUAGCUCGGCUUCUGUUCUCCCCUGCGGCUUUCAGAACCGAAACCCUAGGCACACCGCCCCCGGCAACCCUGCAGGCAGGCAUCCUCUGGGGCCCGCGCGCUGUGGACAGGGGGCUCCUGAGCGUCCCGCGCAUGGCUUCUCUGCGGACGGUGCCCGGAGAGCGGUUCUGCUCGCGCUCAGCUCCGCUCCUGGGAGGACGAAGGGGCCCCCGCACGCCUGGUCCCGAACUCUGGGCCGACUCGAAGAGUUAAACCCAGCAGUGGGGCGGAGGGCCCUUUGUCCCCCGCCAGACGUCCCGCCAGGCUUAUCAGCAGACGGCUUCAGGCCCAGCUUGCAAACCUUCCCAGUCCCAUUCUCACCCCGCCAGGGUAAAGGUCUGGCUGGGAGAGUCAUUUUGCUAACUGCACCGCACGGAAAUGCAGCUGCUAAGAGGAUUAGCUGCUGGGAGGCGAGCCAUCCGCCGGGACCUCCUCCCCUUCUGCGCCCAAUUAAGGCCGCCGGGAGCUCGUCCCUGGGCAAUCCGGGCUCCCACCCCCCGGAUCUUUCUGGGGCCCAAGUUCUUCCAGCGCUGCCGGUGACCUUGGGAGGCUGGGACGUGGGCGCCGCGUCUCCGACUGUGCGUGCUCAAAGCCGACCGCAACGCUGCCAGGGAGCCGGGAAGAGCGGUUGUGCAGAUUUGCUUGUCCACAUGUAUUUCUUGUGGCUGAUAGGUUUAGUCUCGGGCCGGGAGACUCAAAAGUCUGCCUCACCUGGUCGCCAGCGCCGACCCGCCCCCUUCCGUGCGCUUCCAGCAGGCGCGAAGUGGAAGGUGCGGUGGAAUUUCAGAACUGUGCGCUCCCCUUUCCGCCCUCUGGAAAGCCGGGAAAUGGAGCCACUCUCGGGGGAAAGCAGAGUCUGCCCUCGCCUGCUUCGAGCCCUGCAUGUUUUUGCACCGUACAGUCAAAAGAACCUAGUACUUGUGAAAAGUCCCUCACAGUGUUUAAUGGAAACGUAA
This 1464-nucleotide long non-coding RNA is filed under the name Oryctolagus cuniculus (rabbit). RNAcentral's name for it is "lncRNA (ENSOCUG00000030439.1)". Lineage: Eukaryota; Metazoa; Chordata; Mammalia; Lagomorpha; Leporidae. The record is from RNAcentral.